This 433-nucleotide ribosomal RNA is filed under the name uncultured bacterium. RNAcentral's name for it is "partial 16S ribosomal RNA". It matches the Rfam family "Bacterial small subunit ribosomal RNA", at positions 29 to 507 of the family's 1533-position model. The record is from RNAcentral.
AACGAACGCUGGCGGCAUGCCUAACACAUGCAAGUCGAACGAAACCAUCGGGACUAGUGGCGCAUGGGUGCGUAACGCGUGGGAACCUGCCCAUAGGUUUGGAAUAACUCCCCGAAAGGGGUGAUAAUACCGGAUCAUGUCUUCGGACCAAAGAUUUAUCGCCUUUGGAUGGGCCCGCGUUGGAUUAGCUAGUUCGUAGGGUAAAAGCCUACCAAGGCGACGAUCCAUAGCUGGUCUGAGAGGCUGAUCAGCCACACUGGGACUGAGACACGGCCCAGACUCCUACGCGAGGCAGCAGUGCGGAAUAUUGGACAAUGGGCUGAAGCAUGAUCCAGCUAGGCCGCGUGAGUGAUGAAGGCCGUGGGGUUGUAAAGCUCUUUUACCCGGGAUGAUAUUGACAGUACCGGGAGAAUAAGCUCCGGCUAACUCCGUG